This 460-nucleotide ribosomal RNA is filed under the name uncultured bacterium. RNAcentral's name for it is "partial 16S ribosomal RNA". It matches the Rfam family "Bacterial small subunit ribosomal RNA", at positions 338 to 795 of the family's 1533-position model. The record is from RNAcentral.
CCUACGGGUGUCUGCAGUGAGGAAUAUUGGUCAAUGGUCGCGAGCCUGAACCAGCCAAGUAGCGUGAAGGAUGACUGCCCUACGGGUUGUAAACUUCUUUUAUAAAGGAAUAAAGUGAGGCACGUGUGCCUUUUUGUAUGUACUUUAUGAAUAAGGAUCGGCUAACUCAGUGCCAGCAGCCGCGGUAAUACGGAGGAUCCGAGCGUUAUCCGGAUUUAGUGGGUUUAAAGGGAGCGUAGAUGGGUUGUUAAGUCAGUUGUGAAAGUUUGCGGCUAAACCGUAAAAUUGCAAGUGAUACUGGCAGACUUGAGUACAGUUGAGGUAGGCGGAAUUCGUGGUGUAGCGGUGAAAUGCUUAGAUAGCACGAAGAACUCCGAUUGCGAAGGCAGCCUACUAAACUGCCACUGACAUUGAUGCUCGAAAGUGUGGGUAUCAAACAGGAUUAGAUACCCCAGUAGUC